This 460-nucleotide ribosomal RNA is filed under the name uncultured bacterium. Its description in RNAcentral is "partial 16S ribosomal RNA". It matches the Rfam family "Bacterial small subunit ribosomal RNA", at positions 338 to 795 of the family's 1533-position model. The record is from RNAcentral.
ACUACGGGUGGCAGCAGUGAGGAAUAUUGGUCAAUGGUCGGGAGUCUGAACCAGCCAAGCCGCGUGAGGGAUGAAGGUACAGAGUAUUGUAAACCUCUUUUGUCAGGGAACAAAGGCGGGGACGUGUCCCCGGAUGAGUGUACCUGAAGAAAAAGCAUCGGCUAACUCCGUGCCAGCAGCCGCGGUAAUACGGAGGAUGCGAGCGUUAUCCGGAUUUAUUGGGUUUAAAGGGUGCGCAGGGGGUCUGGUAAGUCAGAGGUGAAAGCUCGGGGCCCAACCCCCGACUGGCGUUUGAUACUGGCAGUCUCGAGUUGGAGAGAAGUAUGCGGAAUGCGUGGUGUAGCGGUGAAAUGCAUAGAUAUCGCGCAGAACCCCGAUUGCGAAGGCAGCAUGCCGGCUCCACACUGACGCUGAGGCACGAAAGCGUGGGUAUCGAACAGGAUUAGAUACCCUAGUAGUC